UAGGGAAUCUUCCACAAUGGACGCAAGUCUGAUGGAGCAACGGCCGCGUGAGUGAAGAAGGUUUUCGGACCGUAAAGCUCUGUUGUUGGUGAAGAAGGAUAGAGGUAGUAACUGGCCUUUAUUUGACGGUAAUCAACCAGAAAGUCACGGCUAACUACGUGCCAGCAGCCGCGGUAAUACGUAGGUGGCAAGCGUUGUCCGGAUUUAUUGGGCGUAAAGCGAGCGCAGGCGGAAGAAUAAGUCUGAUGUGAAAGCCCUCGGCUUAACCGAGGAAUUGCAUCGGAAACUGUUUUCUUGAGUGCAGAAGAGGAGAGUAGAACUCCAUGUGUAGCGGUGGAAUGCGUAGAUAUAUGGAAGAAUACCAGUGGCGAAGGCGGCUCUCUGGUCUGCAACUGACGCUGAGGCUCGAAAGCAUGGGUAGCGAACAGGAUUAGAUACCCUGGUAGUCCAUGCCGUAAACGAUGAGUGCUAAGUGUUGGGAGGCUUCCGCCUCUCAGUGCUGCAGCUAACGCAUUAAGCACUCCGCCUGGGGGAGUACGACCGCAAGGUUGAAAC
Molecule: ribosomal RNA, 555 nt
Filed under: uncultured bacterium
Lineage: Bacteria
Description: partial 16S ribosomal RNA
Rfam family: Bacterial small subunit ribosomal RNA
Source: RNAcentral